GAGGGUGGGCCCCUCGAAAUCGCCCUACAGGGGGAGGUUUCAAACCAGCGUAUGCGGCUUUAGUUAAGAGCUUUGGUCGUGAGCGAUACGUGAAAAGUCGGACUAGAUUCCGGCAGGU
Non-coding RNA from Sphingobacteriales bacterium 44-61, 118 nucleotides. The record is from Rfam. Lineage: Bacteria; Pseudomonadati; Bacteroidota; Sphingobacteriia; Sphingobacteriales.